AGUGCCUUGCUUACAGUUCAGAUGUAAUUACUAACAUCUGGUCCUACUGAUUUCAACACAUCUCUUCUUCUUGGCUUUGCAGUAGCAUCAUUCAAGUUCCAGGCAUUCUGUUUAGAACUUGACUUUUAUUGUUCAUUUAGUAGAGAUGAGACAAACCUGAAAGCAGUUUGGCUAUCUGAAAAAAGAAGGUACCUGGCAGCGGCCUACAGAUGAGAACACAUGGCGAUGGCACUGACAAAACUUCAUACCGAUUAUAAAAAUUACAGAGAAACUUGUAGGGAUGCCAAGGCUUUCAAGACUUAAGGAGCCAUUUCUCACCUCUCAUCUAUGAGAGCCAAACAAAUUCGGGACAUGACAGACUUUACCUGCACACAGUAGCUACGUGUUGGAGAGAAAGGAAAAGCACAUAUAUACGCAAGGUGGUGAAAGAACAAUAAAGUGUCCCAGAAGAGUUUGAGCCCUGCUGCUCCUGCCUGCUUUUCUUCUCCUGUUUCUCCACCCCUCUCACCCUUUCUGUCUCCCCUGAUCUAUGCAAGGGUUGAGAGGGCAGCUGCUUCACCCAACUGAUGAGCUCAAAGCUCAAUUCUUAUUAGCAGCUCAGCUGAAGGUGGCAGUGGGGAGAUAAACAGUCCUGGCCAGCAGCUCUCUAGCUCCCCUUGCUGGCAAGUGCUGGCAGAGCAAGUUUCCAGGAUGUUUUUUUUCUUUUCUGGAUAGCUUGCCCUGUGAACCCAAAGCAGGUCACAUGGAAAGAUAGUUUCUUUUGAGCAAUAUUACCUGUUGCUUGAUAAAAAUAACAUCUUCCAAGGGCUGUAGAAAUGUUGAGCCACAUUUUCCAAUGUAGCCUUAUAGUUGUUGAACAUUUACUGCUGUUAAUACUUUAUAAACCUGAAAACUGGACCCUGGGGGCUAAACUUUCCAAAGUGGUUGGCCAAAUUAGCCUGCUAAAUCCUUACUUAGGCACCAAACUAAAAAUGGGCAACUUUUCAAGGAAUCAACUAACUUUUCAAGGAAUCAAGAAAAUAGGGGUUCAGCAACUCCAGAAACCAUGCACCUUAGAUUUAAUUGCCUGUAUCUGAUUGAGGCACUAUUAGUAAAUUAGCAUUACUGCAGCUGCUAGCAAUAUGUAGAUCACUGAGGUUUUACCCCAGUCAGGACAGGUUCAAUAGCAGUAGACUACUUAAUAUUGGUGAUCCAAUUUCAUCUGAACUAAGAUAGAUAUUUGUAUUCAAUGAGAAUGCUGUGAAAUAACUGGAUCCCACUGGGGAAAAAAUACAUGCAUCACUUGAAAAAAAAUUUCUGGAAUCAAAAUUUUCCAGCUAUACCUAUUUGAAAAUUGUUAUAAUUUGUUAUUAAUAAAAAGUUUGAAUCUAGAGGAAAAAUGUUAUUGAAAAUGAUCAAUAAUUUAAAAUGUUUAAUUAAUGUGACAUUUUUAUUACAAUUUCAAGUGGGAAAAAUAUUCCAACUAAAAUUGAUUCAGAUCAUGUUGUUCUUGUUCUUCAUUUGUUUAAUUCCUCAUAAUGGAAGCAAAGGGUGCAGGGGGAAAGAAAGUUUCUUCUGAAUAAAAGUUAAUAAUAUUUUUUUCAAUUUGAAUCUUAAAAAAUUGUUUAUAUACAAGUUCAGAAAAUGAUUUCAUUUCCUUCAGAGAGGUUCCCCAUUCAACUUACCCCCUCAGCAUGGUAUUCAUUUCCUAGCUGCCUCUACUUCCACUGUUUUAUUCAACAUACUUGUGUGGGGUAGUGCUUUUUGUGAGAAGGUAGUGCAGUCUUUCUUGGCCUUCUUGGUGAAGAUGCCAGUUGACCUGGUUUCUUCAAAUGGUUCCAUGCACACAAGUUUCAAAAGUUUUUGGCCUUUGUUUUGAAAACUAAGCACCUGAAAAUUGAGACAUCCUAAAUUAGAAAGUACUUUUGAAUAGCUGUGCUUAUUAUGCCCAGGAUCUAUAGACUAUGUACAGCUAAGUUGCCUGACACCUAGUUACUGUGCUUUAAUCAGUUUUUCUAGGUUGACCUGCACUGUGAUCCUACUUUGAUUUCUGAACUUAGACGUUAUUGUUAUAAAAUGCAAUGCAAUGAAUAUCACUGUAGUUCUUGGAAAAGUUUCUUAUGGCUCUCAAUAAAAGAUUAAAAGAGAGAUUC
Alligator mississippiensis (American alligator) is the source of this 2132-nucleotide long non-coding RNA. RefSeq lists it as uncharacterized. The transcript has 2 exons. NCBI's taxonomy places the organism in Eukaryota, Metazoa, Chordata, Crocodylia, Alligatoridae. The record is from RefSeq and is a predicted model, not a curated record.